UUAUCUCGGCAGUUGUGAAGGCGGUGAGGUUCGGUGUAAAAGCAGUUCGUGCUGUGGUUAGGGGAAUAAAAAGAAGAAGAGCCAGAGGCUGAAGCAGCUCCUGCAGAGAAACCCAUAGGAAUGCCCAGCAGCUCUCUUCCACCAUCGCAUCUCCUGGAUCUCCAGGAACACUCUGAUUAAUAAACAUUAUCACGCAA
Molecule: long non-coding RNA, 197 nt
Organism: Acipenser ruthenus (sterlet)
Lineage: Eukaryota; Metazoa; Chordata; Actinopteri; Acipenseriformes; Acipenseridae
Exons: 2
Source: RefSeq, a predicted model, not a curated record